CUUGAGGUUCCGGGGCGAGACUUUGGGGUCCCGAGGGUGGGCCGGGGACCCCGCGGUAGGCGUGCGGGGCUGCGGAAGGGGCAUGGAGCGAUAACCGGAGCUUCGGGGCUAUGAGCAGCGGGCAUAGAGCCCCGUAGUUAUCCCGUCCGGCUCCCUGCAUUCGCUUAGGGCUGGGCCUCGGAAGCAUUUUGCCCUGCCCUCCGGCAACCCCGGGACACCAGCGAUGCAGACUCCUGUCGGUAAACGAAACUUGAUCUUGGACUACACGUCGUGCUCAGCUACCAGUCGCCAACCUGCAAUGCCCGCGUGAGGAGGCUGGAAAUGGCACAAUUGCAAAAAAUCAUCCCCUUCGAUAUCUUCAAGGAGCACUGUGUACCAGAUUCCAGGUUUGCGAGGGCUAGUGUGCAGGCCCCACGCACCCCCAAUUCAAACAAACUGCUUCUGCCCACUGGAACUGUUGAAUGAUUCUUUCUCAGCAGAGAGGAUUCUUACAGUUUGGUGAGCCUAACCUGAUUCGCCAUGUCUUUCUUACCUGCCCAAUCUACCUUCUCAAACUAGCGUGUGAGAUUAGGGAGGAGAAGGGGCUGAUGCCCUGUGACCGUCAAGGCUGCCUGCUCUAGGGAGCCGGCCCAAGAGGUCCCACCACAAACACUGGGCUUAGGGGACUUCUUCCUGCCUCAGAACUUUAGCCUGUCGCUCCUUUGGCCCCCGCAGAGUUCCUUUGGGUUUUCCAGAACUGGGAAUCCGAAUGAACACCUCAUGUGUCAAAAUCCCAACCUCAUCCCUUAAUGUUAAAAUCUGUGCUUUCAAACAAGACACUUCCCCUUUCCGAAGCUUAUUUUUCUAAUAAUGAGGAAAGGGGACAAUAAUUCCCACCGCAGCAUUGUUGUAAGUAUUGGUCUUAGACCAGCUCCUUUAAGAGUUUGCAGCAGAACAGAUCGGGGGUGAGGGUUGUGUAGGGUCCCCCAGAUCCCCGUCUGUGCUUUCUUUCUGUGUCCUGACCACUCUGUGACCCAGCCAGUUGCAGGGUUUUCCCAGCAGUCUUGAACCCAAACUGAGGUCUUGAACAUUCUCAGACACUGAUAAAAGGAUCUAGGGUGUUGCCCAAAACACUGAAAGAAACUGGCCCCGGCCCUGAGCCACAUUCCUAAACCCUCAUAUAAACUCCAUACCCUGACUUCCUAAUUCAGAACAUAGGUAGAAAACUCCUUUUCUCUCGCUGUCUUUCUCAAACAUUGCUGCAGCACUGCUAUGUAAGUCAGUCUAAUAAAUGGUUUGGACUGAU
Non-coding RNA from Microcebus murinus (gray mouse lemur), 1285 nucleotides. NCBI's taxonomy places the organism in Eukaryota, Metazoa, Chordata, Mammalia, Primates, Cheirogaleidae. The record is from RefSeq and is a predicted model, not a curated record.